Molecule: ribosomal RNA, 504 nt
Filed under: uncultured bacterium
Lineage: Bacteria
Description: partial 16S ribosomal RNA
Rfam family: Bacterial small subunit ribosomal RNA
Source: RNAcentral
AUUGAACGCUGGCGGCAGGCCUAACACAUGCAAGUCGAGCGGAAACGAAGGGAGCUUGCUCCCAGGCGUCGAGCGGCGGACGGGUGAGUAACACGUGAGAAUCUGCCCAUUAGUGGGGGACAACUCGGGGAAACUCGAGCUAAUACCGCAUAAUCCCUACGGGGGAAAGCAGGGGACCUUUUGGCCUUGCGCUGAUGGAUGAGCUCACGUCAGAUUAGCUUGUUGGUGAGGUAAAGGCUCACCAAGGCGACGAUCCGUAGCUGGUCUGAGAGGAUGAUCAGACACACUGGGACUGAGACACGGCCCAGACUCCUACGGGAGGCAGCAGUGGGGAAUCUUGGACAAUGGGGGCAACCCUGAUCCAGCCAUGCCGCGUGUGUGAAGAAGGCCUUCGGGUUGUAAAGCACUCUCAGCAGGGAGGAAGGCUUUGGCCGAAUAGGUUGAAGUACUUGACGUUACCUGCAGAAGAAGCACCGGCUAAUUUCGUGCCAGCCGCCGCGGUAA